Equus quagga is the source of this 388-nucleotide long non-coding RNA. RefSeq lists it as uncharacterized. NCBI's taxonomy places the organism in Eukaryota, Metazoa, Chordata, Mammalia, Perissodactyla, Equidae. The record is from RefSeq and is a predicted model, not a curated record. The transcript has 3 exons.
AGGCGCUCGCCCGAGGAGCGGGGCGGGGCCGGGUUGCGUGGAUAACGGAAGUGGCGGGAGCAGGCGAUCGCCUCGGGGCGCGCGCCGUUCUGGCUGCCAUGGGCGUCUGCGCUGAGAAUGACCCUGCAACUUGGAACUCUCCAAACACCGUAGGAACUCAUUGGAGCUUAUGAAUGCAGAGUUCACAGCUUUGUCUAAUGAAGAAAACCAGUUGUGAAUGAGGACUUUUAACAAACAAGAGGGCACAAAGUUAAGGAACCCAAGCAUGGACCACGUCCCCCCUGUACAACAUGCAGCAGGCCAUGUACUUGUGAGUGUCACACUUGACCACCUGGUUGGCUGGCUUGAAGCAGGCAUUGGUGAUCCCAGUCACAGACAGCUGCUCAUG